UGUUAUUCUUACUUGGAAUAAUAAGGGUGACAUUUGGGCGAGUAUCCAAUGAAGAGGAAGCUGCCCUCGGGGAAAUGAGUGGAAUCAUUCAGUAACAAAACAACAGGAUGACGUCUCCUCAAUGGAUCCAACGAGUGAAUAUAGAUGCGAGUAUAAGAAAAAACAUUUUAAUCCAGAAGCGACAGUCAGAACGAGGACAAUGGAAAAAGAUAUUCCUUUAAGGAGUCCUUUUGGGCUCGCGUUAAUCUGGCCCAUUGCGGCCAAGGAAUCACGUUGGAUGGAAGGAUAUGGAGUCUGGAGAGAGAUACUAUAUCAAAAGGACUAUAGGUGGAGUCCCACGUCGUUCAUCCCCCUCACGACACCCCAGUAAUAGGCUAAUGUCCGACCGGAAUGAAGGUUUCGGCUUAAACCUCCUUUUAAUCCCUUUGUCGAUCAGGGCCGCCAUCAAGCCACCACCGGAAACACACUAACCGCUCGCUAGGUCGUCAGGAUCCUGGUCAAAGGAGUCAAGAAUGCCAUUCAUCACGUAGCUGGAGUCAAGGGGAAUCCCUAGAAAAUGCCCAUCCUUCCUUUUGGAUCCAAGAAUGAAAUACCAGGAGACGUUAAGGAAUCCUGGUCCACGAAAAUCUUUCAAAUCAUAAAUCCAUCCAGGACCUACUAUGAUUCAGGAAGGACACGUCAUCGUUUAAACUGACUUUAGUUUUUAAUUUGAAAUUAUUCGUGGAUCAGUCAUCAAUGAUUUUCAAGGUCGAUCCUGAACUUCCUCGGGGUGUCUGCGUCUCUGUCUACUAUCGCAGUUUGUUCCAUUGGGCCUGGUCUAAUAACAAUAAUGAAGAAACUCAACUCCGCACCACCUUUCGACCCCUCUUCUUGGCACUAGGACUCUCGUUGGUUCCCUCGGCAGUUCCUCAUCGCGCACCCCCACACCUUCAUCCUUGGAAGAAAUAAAACCGGAGUCGUAAGAGCCGGAUGAUUAAUAUCCAGCCGACAGUUUGUGAAGCGAGCGGCCAAUAAACGGGAUAAAAAUACUCGUGAAAA
This is a long non-coding RNA of Cephus cinctus (wheat stem sawfly), 1038 nucleotides long. RefSeq lists it as uncharacterized. The transcript is spliced from 3 exons. NCBI's taxonomy places the organism in Eukaryota, Metazoa, Arthropoda, Insecta, Hymenoptera, Cephidae. The record is from RefSeq and is a predicted model, not a curated record.